RNAcentral lists this transfer RNA (75 nucleotides) under Blastopirellula retiformator. It matches the Rfam family "tRNA". Rfam says of the family: Transfer RNA (tRNA) molecules are approximately 80 nucleotides in length. Their secondary structure includes four short double-helical elements and three loops (D, anti-codon, and T loops). Lineage: Bacteria; Pseudomonadati; Planctomycetota; Planctomycetia; Pirellulales; Pirellulaceae. The record is from Rfam by way of RNAcentral.
CGCCGCGUAGAGCAGUCUGGUUAGCUCGCUUGGCUCAUAACCAAGAGGUCGCAGGUUCAAAUCCUGCCGCGGCAA